Molecule: ribosomal RNA, 841 nt
Filed under: uncultured Bacillota bacterium
Lineage: Bacteria; Bacillati; Bacillota
Description: bacterial SSU rRNA
Rfam family: Bacterial small subunit ribosomal RNA
Source: RNAcentral
ACAUGCAGUCGAACGCGAAAGUCCCCUUCGGGGGACGAGUAGAGUGGCGUCCGGGUGAGUAACACGUAGGUAAUCUACCUUCGGGUGGGGAAUAACGCAGGGAAACUUGCGCUAAUACCGCAUAAUGCAGCGGCACCACAUGGUGACAGUUGUUAAAGCGGGGGAUUUUCGAACCUCGCGCCUGAAGAGGAGCCUGCGGCAGAUUAGCUAGUUGGUAGGGUAACGGCUUACCAAGGCGACGAUCUGUAGCCGGCCUGAGAGGGCGGUCGGCCACACUGACACUGACAUACGGGUCAGACUCCUACGGGAGGCAGCAGUCGGGAAUUUUGGGCAAUGGGCGAAAGCCUGACCCAGCAACGCCGCGUGAAGGAUGAAAUCCUUCGGGAUGUAAACUUCGCAAGAAUAGGAAGAAUGAGCGAGCGCUAACACCGUUCGUGAUGACGGUACUAUUUGUAAGCUCCGGCUAACUCCGUGCCAGCAGCCGCGGUAAUACGGGGGGAGCAAGCGUUGUUCGGAUUUACUGGGCGUAAAGGGCGCGUAGGCGGUCAGCACAAGUCAGUUGUGAAAUCUCCGGGCUUAACUCGGAAAGGUCAACUGAUACUGUGCGACUAGAGUGCAGAAGGGGCAACUGGAAUUCUCGGUGUAGCGGUGAAAUGCGUAGAUAUCGAGAGGAACACCUGCGGCGAAGGCGGGUUGCUGGGCUGACACUGACGCUGAUGCGCGAAAGCCAGGGGAGCGAACGGGAUUAGAUACCCCGGUAGUCCUGGCCUUAAACGAUGGAUGCUUGGUGUCUGGAGUUUAUAGUCUCCGGGUGCCGUANCUAACGCGUUAGCAUCCCGCC